This 219-nucleotide long non-coding RNA is filed under the name Homo sapiens (human). Its description in RNAcentral is "HSALNT0381536". Lineage: Eukaryota; Metazoa; Chordata; Mammalia; Primates; Hominidae. The record is from RNAcentral.
CCUGUCUCGUCCCCAGUGGCUUUUCCAGAACUACUGCCUUCACCAUGAAGCUCCAUGAGCUUUCCCAAAUUUAUUGACCACUUCUUUCAAGUCAUUUGUCUGCACCUCUCGGAUCAUGAUUUCCAUCAUCUUCUUCCGGAUUUGGCGGACCUGUUGGUGCUGAGCAGGCAGUUUUUACCCUGAACAUCUUCAGUAAUCAGCUUGAAUUUUCUAAAUGCA